Molecule: long non-coding RNA, 1608 nt
Organism: Capsicum annuum
Lineage: Eukaryota; Viridiplantae; Streptophyta; Magnoliopsida; Solanales; Solanaceae
Exons: 7
Source: RefSeq, a predicted model, not a curated record
AGCGCCAAUUUCUUUAUUAACAUUCUGAAAAUUAAAUUUAGGUAAUAGAUUAUAAUUGCUAUCUUUCAAUCCUCUCUAUAGCACCCAUAGGACGCCCAGUACAUCGAUCGUCGACGCCGGCUGGACCAACCAAUUUUGCAGAGGAGACGCCGUUAAGACCAAUCAAUCUGGUACUGAGCUUUGCCGUGGAGUGUCCUUCCAAGGAAUUUCUGCUGUUCAUUAUCAGAUGCUGUGUAUGAGUACUUGGACACUGGGAACUUAGAACAGUGGCUUCACGGAGAUGUGGGACCUUCCAGCCCUCUUACAUGGGAAAUUAGAAUGGAUAUCAUUCUUGGAACAGCUAAAGGGUUAACCUAUCUGCAUAAGGGGCUUGAACCACAUCAAAUCAAGCAAUAUUUUGCUUGAUAAGAAGUGGAAUCCAAAAGUGUCCGACUUUGGCUUGGCAAAGCUUUUGGGUGCUGAGAAGAGCUACAUUACUACUCGGAUUAUGGGAACAUUUGGUUAUGUUGCUCCGGAAUAUGCUAGCACAGGCAUGGAGUGGUAACGUAUGUGUCGGAGUUAAUUAGAAGGAGAACACGCGAAGCAGACAAGUGUAAUUAGGCAGGACGUGCCUGAUAAAUGGAGGACUUCAUAUGUAUUCUGCUUUGCACAUGCUGAGCUGGUUCUUCUUACCUCAGGGGUAGAACUAUAAUUUACCACUAUACCUGUCAUGCCAGAGAAAUGGCACCUACAAUUGAAAUUCAUAUAUGAUUAAAGAGAAUUAGACUAUAAGAAUUGGUGUAUUUAGUAUUCAUUGCAUGCCCAAGAGAUUGAUUUUCCUUUCAUUUCAGGUUGAUGUAGUGAAGAAAUAAGUUAUGAAUGCAUUGCGUUGUGACUUGACUUGGAUUCUUGGAGAGAAAAGUAAGUCUAUUCAGAAAAUUAAGAUGAGCUGUGUAUUUUUAUUCAACUUUUGAGGUAAAGAACUUUUAGAAGAAGCAGACUCACAUUAUAGUCCUUGUCAGAAAGGAUUCACUUUUUUUUUGUUUUUUUGAACUGUCAUAUGGAUCCCAGCACAGACUUUCUGCUGAGAAUAUGUAAUGCUGUUACCUUUCUUAAAAAAUAAAAAAGGAGUUUCUAGUGAAGUAAUUCUUUUAAGAACACUUGCUGAUCUUAUGUAAAUCUUAUCCCAGUUUAUGGAUGCUCCUACACGCACCUGUUGGUAUGCUCUUACAGGGUCUGUUCGCUCUACAAUCUUCUUGUCCGCUUUUGUUGUAAUCUUUCAGUCCAGUUUUUUGGGCAUCAUUUGUGCUUUUCUUGCUGCUGAAUGUUAGCGGGUGGCAAGCAUUAAUUCCUCUGAUUAUCAUUUUAGCUGUUGGAACAAAGCUUCAGGCUAUUUUGACUAGGAUUGCCCUUGACAGACAUCACAGAGAGACAUUCAGUAGUUCAAGGAAUCCCUCUUCUCUUGUACAAGCCUCAGACAAAUAUUUUUGGUUUUGGUCUUCUUUUGUGAAACUAUAUAUCACGCGAUAAUGUUAACCAAGUUUUCUGGUCUAAUUAUAUAUCAUGUUUUUGUAUAGAGAUUCUCGAUAGUAAUUUGGUAUUUAUUUGAUGAAAUUUAUUAUUUUGUGA